UUAAGUUAUUAAGGGCGCACGGUGGAUGCCUUGGCACUAGAAGCCGAUGAAGGACGUUACUAACGACGAUAUGCUUUGGGGAGCUGUAAGUAAGCUUUGAUCCAGAGAUUUCCGAAUGGGGAAACCCAGCAUGAGUUAUGUCAUGUUAUCGAUAUGUGAAUACAUAGCAUAUCAGAAGGCACACCCGGAGAACUGAAACAUCUUAGUACCCGGAGGAAGAAAAAGAAAAUUCGAUUCCCUUAGUAGCGGCGAGCGAAACGGGAAGAGCCCAAACCAACAAGCUUGCUUGUUGGGGUUGUAGGACACUCUAUACGGAGUUACAAAGGACGACAUUAGACGAAUCAUCUGGAAAGAUGAAUCAAAGAAGGUAAUAAUCCUGUAGUCGAAAAUGUUGUCUCUCUUGAGUGGAUCCUGAGUACGACGGAACACGUGAAAUUCCGUCGGAAUCUGGGAGGACCAUCUCCUAAGGCUAAAUACUCUCUAGUGACCGAUAGUGAACCAGUACCGUGAGGGAAAGGUGAAAAGCACCCCGGAAGGGGAGUGAAAUAGAACCUGAAACCGUGUGCUUACAAGUAGUCAGAGCCCGUUAAUGGGUGAUGGCGUGCCUUUUGUAGAAUGAACCGGCGAGUUACGAUUUGAUGCAAGGUUAAGCAGUAAAUGUGGAGCCGUAGCGAAAGCGAGUCUGAAUAGGGCGUUUAGUAUUUGGUCGUAGACCCGAAACCAGGUGAUCUACCCUUGGUCAGGUUGAAGUUCAGGUAACACUGAAUGGAGGACCGAACCGACUUACGUUGAAAAGUGAGCGGAUGAACUGAGGGUAGCGGAGAAAUUCCAAUCGAACCUGGAGAUAGCUGGUUCUCUCCGAAAUAGCUUUAGGGCUAGCCUCAAGUGAUGAUUAUUGGAGGUAGAGCACUGUUUGGACGAGGGGCCCCUCUCGGGUUACCGAAUUCAGACAAACUCCGAAUGCCAAUUAAUUUAACUUGGGAGUCAGAACAUGGGUGAUAAGGUCCGUGUUCGAAAGGGAAACAGCCCAGACCACCAGCUAAGGUCCCAAAAUAUAUGUUAAGUGGAAAAGGAUGUGGCGUUGCCCAGACAACUAGGAUGUUGGCUUAGAAGCAGCCAUCAUUUAAAGAGUGCGUAAUAGCUCACUAGUCGAGUGACACUGCGCCGAAAAUGUACCGGGGCUAAACAUAUUACCGAAGCUGUGGAUUGUCCUUUGGACAAUGGUAGGAGAGCGUUCUAAGGGCGUUGAAGCAUGAUCGUAAGGACAUGUGGAGCGCUUAGAAGUGAGAAUGCCGGUGUGAGUAGCGAAAGACGGGUGAGAAUCCCGUCCACCGAUUGACUAAGGUUUCCAGAGGAAGGCUCGUCCGCUCUGGGUUAGUCGGGUCCUAAGCUGAGGCCGACAGGCGUAGGCGAUGGAUAACAGGUUGAUAUUCCUGUACCACCUAUAAUCGUUUUAAUCGAUGGGGGGACGCAGUAGGAUAGGCGAAGCGUGCGAUUGGAUUGCACGUCUAAGCAGUAAGGCUGAGUAUUAGGCAAAUCCGGUACUCGUUAAGGCUGAGCUGUGAUGGGGAGAAGACAUUGAGUCUUCGAGUCGUUGAUUUCACACUGCCGAGAAAAGCCUCUAGAUAGAAAAUAGGUGCCCGUACCGCAAACCGACACAGGUAGUCAAGAUGAGAAUUCUAAGGUGAGCGAGCGAACUCUCGUUAAGGAACUCGGCAAAAUGACCCCGUAACUUCGGGAGAAGGGGUGCUCUUUAGGGUUAACGCCCAGAAGAGCCGCAGUGAAUAGGCCCAAGCGACUGUUUAUCAAAAACACAGGUCUCUGCUAAACCGUAAGGUGAUGUAUAGGGGCUGACGCCUGCCCGGUGCUGGAAGGUUAAGAGGAGUGGUUAGCUUCUGCGAAGCUACGAAUCGAAGCCCCAGUAAACGGCGGCCGUAACUAUAACGGUCCUAAGGUAGCGAAAUUCCUUGUCGGGUAAGUUCCGACCCGCACGAAAGGCGUAACGAUUUGGGCACUGUCUCAACGAGAGACUCGGUGAAAUCAUAGUACCUGUGAAGAUGCAGGUUACCCGCGACAGGACGGAAAGACCCCGUGGAGCUUUACUGUAGCCUGAUAUUGAAAUUCGGCACAGCUUGUACAGGAUAGGUAGGAGCCUUUGAAACGUGAGCGCUAGCUUACGUGGAGGCGCUGGUGGGAUACUACCCUAGCUGUGUUGGCUUUCUAACCCGCACCACUUAUCGUGGUGGGAGACAGUGUCAGGCGGGCAGUUUGACUGGGGCGGUCGCCUCCUAAAAGGUAACGGAGGCGCUCAAAGGUUCCCUCAGAAUGGUUGGAAAUCAUUCAUAGAGUGUAAAGGCAUAAGGGAGCUUGACUGCGAGACCUACAAGUCGAGCAGGGUCGAAAGACGGACUUAGUGAUCCGGUGGUUCCGCAUGGAAGGGCCAUCGCUCAACGGAUAAAAGCUACCCCGGGGAUAACAGGCUUAUCUCCCCCAAGAGUUCACAUCGACGGGGAGGUUUGGCACCUCGAUGUCGGCUCAUCGCAUCCUGGGGCUGUAGUCGGUCCCAAGGGUUGGGCUGUUCGCCCAUUAAAGCGGUACGCGAGCUGGGUUCAGAACGUCGUGAGACAGUUCGGUCCCUAUCCGUCGUGGGCGUAGGAAAUUUGAGAGGAGCUGUCCUUAGUACGAGAGGACCGGGAUGGACAUACCUCUGGUGUACCAGUUGUCGUGCCAACGGCAUAGCUGGGUAGCUAUGUGUGGACGGGAUAAGUGCUGAAAGCAUCUAAGCAUGAAGCCCCCCUCAAGAUGAGAUUUCCCAACUUCGAUUAUAAGAUCCCUCAAAGAUGAUGAGGUUAAUAGGUUCGAGGUGGAAGCAUGGUGACAUGUGGAGCUGACGAAUACUAAUCGAUCGAAGACUUAAUCAA
This 2921-nucleotide ribosomal RNA is filed under the name Staphylococcus aureus. Its description in RNAcentral is "bacterial LSU rRNA". It matches the Rfam family "Bacterial large subunit ribosomal RNA". The record is from RNAcentral. Lineage: Bacteria; Bacillati; Bacillota; Bacilli; Caryophanales; Staphylococcaceae.